This 301-nucleotide ribosomal RNA is filed under the name uncultured bacterium. RNAcentral describes it as "partial 16S ribosomal RNA". It matches the Rfam family "Bacterial small subunit ribosomal RNA", at positions 509 to 807 of the family's 1533-position model. The record is from RNAcentral.
CAGUAGCCACGGUAAUACAGAGGGUGCAAGCGUUAAUCGGAAUUACUGGGCGUAAAGCGCGCGUAGGUGGUUCGCCAAGUUGGAUGUGAAAUCCCCGGGCUCAACCUGGGAACUGCAUCCAAAACUGGCGAGCUAGAGUAUGGUAGAGGGCGGUGGAAUUUCCUGUGUAGCGGUGAAAUGCGUAGAUAUAGGAAGGAACAUCAGUGGCGAAGGCGACCACCUGGACUGAUACUGACACUGAGGUGCGAAAGCGUGGGGAGCAAACAGGAUUAGAUACCCGGGUAGUCCCUGUCUCUUAUAC